Molecule: long non-coding RNA, 342 nt
Filed under: Nicotiana tabacum (common tobacco)
Lineage: Eukaryota; Viridiplantae; Streptophyta; Magnoliopsida; Solanales; Solanaceae
Description: long non-coding RNA (NTAB_LNC003566)
Source: RNAcentral
UCCCUCUCUUACAUUUGACAUGCAUAACACCAGCUAUGCUAAGUAUUCUUAGUAGGACAUCCAUUUUUUAUUGGACAGCUUUUAAAGAAUCUAAUGAGACUAUAGAUCUUUAAGGUACCAGUUUAGGAAUUAUUUGAAGCCCAUUUUUGUGUCUACUAAUUCUGGGAUAUACACUUUGGUGAUUGGUUGUCUUGCUUCUAUUUUUAUGAUAAUAAAUCUGCAUCAAUUUUUAGUUGCAGGCUCAAACAGCUUAUCCUUAUCCGGACCCAUACUAUAGGAGCAUCUUUGCACCAUACGAUGCACAGCCUUAUCCUACACAACCUUAUCCAGCACAACCAAUGG